Molecule: long non-coding RNA, 303 nt
Organism: Gallus gallus (chicken)
Lineage: Eukaryota; Metazoa; Chordata; Aves; Galliformes; Phasianidae
Exons: 3
Source: RefSeq, a predicted model, not a curated record
GUUCUCUGAAGAUUAAUAUUAUCCCUCAUUUGCAGAACCAUUAAAAACUUGUAAUCAAGCAAAUGAGAACGUAAAUCUGUACAUUUUGGACAGAUUUUCUACAAUCAUUCCCAAACAUAAUUUUUUAAGUGAUAGGAUCACAUUUCAUCUGAAUAUCAAGAAGUUGAAAUCUACAGCUGAAUGCAUCUCUUGUCAGAUAGUCCAUAUCUGAGAAAGGAGAUGAGAAGUAGCUUCUUGUGGAUUGCAGAUUGCAGAGUACUAACCCCAUAAGCAGAUUGCAGAGUACUUACUGAAAGAUUCAAG